AUACCGCGUGUGUGAAGAAGGCCUUCGGGUUGUAAAGCACUUUAAGCAGGGAGAAAAAGUUAUAAGUUAAUACCUUAUGACCUUGAUGUUACCUGCAGAAUAAGCACCGGCUAAUUCCGUGCCAGCAGCCGCGGUAAUACGGAAGGUGCAAGCGUUAAUCGGAAUUACUGGGCGUAAAGCGCGCGUAGGUGGUUUGUUAAGUUGGAUGUGAAAGCCCUGGGCUCAACCUAGGAACUGCAUCCAAAACUAACUCACUAGAGUACGAUAGAGGGAGGUAGAAUUCAUAGUGUAGCGGUGGAAUGCGUAGAUAUUAUGAAGAAUACCAGUGGCGAAGGCGGCCUCCUGGAUCUGUACUGACACUGAGGUGCGAAAGCGUGGGUAGCGAACAGGAUUAGAUACCCUGGUAGUCCACGCCGUAAACGAUGACAACUAGCUGUUGGGAGACAAAGUCUUUCAGUGGCGCAGCUAACGCUUUAAGUUGUCCGCCUGGGGAGUACGGCCGCAAGGCUAAAACUCAAAUGAAUUGACGGGGACCCGCACAAGCGGUGGAGCAUGUGGUUUAAUUCGAUGCAACGCGAAAAACCUUACCUACUCUUGACAUACUUGGGAGCUCUUGUAAUGAGAGUGUGCCUUAUGGAACCAAGAUACAGGUGCUGCAUGGCUGUCGUCAGCUCGUGUCGUGAGAUGUUCCGUUAAGUCGGAUAACGAGCGCAACCCUUACCCUUAUUUGCCAGCGAUUCGGACGGGAACUAUAAGGGGACUGCCGGUGAUAAACCGGAGGAAGGUGAGGACGACGUCAAGUCAUCAUGGCCCUUACGAGUAGGGCUACACACGUGCUACAAUGGGAAAUACAGACGGACGCUAAGCCGCGAGGUGGUGCUAAUCCUAGAAAGUUUCUCGUAGUCCGGAUUGGAGUCUGCAACUCGACUCCAUGAAGUCGGAAUCGCUAGUAAUCGCGGAUC
RNAcentral lists this ribosomal RNA (962 nucleotides) under uncultured SAR86 cluster bacterium. RNAcentral describes it as "bacterial SSU rRNA". It matches the Rfam family "Bacterial small subunit ribosomal RNA", at positions 394 to 1350 of the family's 1533-position model. Lineage: Bacteria; Pseudomonadati; Pseudomonadota; Gammaproteobacteria. The record is from RNAcentral.